Dromiciops gliroides (monito del monte) is the source of this 357-nucleotide non-coding RNA. Lineage: Eukaryota; Metazoa; Chordata; Mammalia; Microbiotheria; Microbiotheriidae. The record is from the annotation of a RefSeq genome assembly.
AUGAUCUCCCCAUGGCAGCUCCUCUGGCUGCUGGUGCUCUGGGCUCAGGAUUCCCAAGGAGCCAUUGUGCUGAACCAGUCUCCAGCCUCCUUGUCUGGGUCUUCAGGAGAGAGAGUCACCAUCAGCUGCAAGGCCAGUCAGAGUGUGACAGAUAGUAAUGGUGAUAGCUACCUUCACUGGUACCAGCAGACACCUGGCCAAGCCCCCAGGCUCCUCAUCUCCUAUGCUAACAGGCUGGCAUCUGGAAUCCCUGCCCGCUUCAGUGGCAGUGGGUCUGGGAUAGAUUUCACUCUCACCAUCAGCAGCUUGGAGCCUGAGGAUGCUGGAGAUUAUUACUGUCAGCAUGGGACUCGUUGA